This is a long non-coding RNA of Lates calcarifer (barramundi perch), 890 nucleotides long. RefSeq lists it as uncharacterized. The record is from RefSeq and is a predicted model, not a curated record. The transcript has 6 exons. Lineage: Eukaryota; Metazoa; Chordata; Actinopteri; Centropomidae.
GCUCGAAGGAGAGAGGGAACAAGAUUAAAAAUACCCAGAGAUGAUAAAUCAAUCUGCACAGAGGAUAAGUAAACAUCGAGCCACAAGGUCAAACAGCAGAGCAAGGCUGCAGUUCUGAGAUGAAAAAUAUCGAUGGAGGAGUUCCAUGGUGGUGUAGUACACCGAGAGAACGUCGUAACCGAUGAGGUCUGGACGCUAAAACAAACCUUGGAGCUUCCUUUUUUUGUCGUCAAUGGAGAAGUCUGGAUGCUAAAACAAACCCUGGAGCUGCUUUUUUGUCGAACACGUGUGAGACUGGAUGCCGUAGCUACACAGCUGUGGCGUGAAGGUUUACUCGUUCAGCUGCUGCAGACUGGACUGAAACACCAGCUCUCACCUUAAUGACGAAACAGGAUUCAAACGUCAACCAUUAAAUCACAGAUAGAAGAAACAGACGUGAAGACAUUUCCAGGUCUUUGGCUGCUGUCAUCUUCUCCUCCUGCAGACACAGGAACACGCAUUAUUAUUUUAAAGUACCCAUGUUACCAUGUUUUCCCCACAUAUACACACUCGCACCUCUACAGUGUUUGUGAGUUAGGUUAGAUUUUCAUUUUGAUGUUUUGCCAUUCCAAACAGUGCAAUAUCAGUACUUGAAUCUAAUCUAUUACUGUGUACUCAUAUGGUUUAUAUGUUCUUAUAUAUCUUCUCUAGUUUAUCUAAUGACUUUUCUAUUACUACCGUUGCUACACUGAAUUUCCCAGCUGUGGGACUGAAGGAUUAUCUUAUUUAAAUAAAUACUUCUUAACACUAAAUAUUUUGCCAGUCUGUUUAUUACUAUAUGAAAGUGAAUACUUUUAGCCAGAGAUUAGAGUUUUUAGCCUCAAUUAUACAUUUUAGUUCCAAGCUGCAAG